Molecule: ribosomal RNA, 545 nt
Filed under: Plecotus christii
Lineage: Eukaryota; Metazoa; Chordata; Mammalia; Chiroptera; Vespertilionidae
Description: partial 16S ribosomal RNA
Rfam family: Bacterial large subunit ribosomal RNA
Source: RNAcentral
GUAUUAGAGGCACUGCCUGCCCAGUGACUCCAGUUAAACGGCCGCGGUAUUCUGACCGUGCAAAGGUAGCAUAAUCACUUGUUCUCUAAAUAGGGACUUGUAUGAAUGGCCCCACGAGGGUUUAACUGUCUCUUACUUUUAAUCAGUGAAAUUGAUGUUCCCGUGAAGAAGCGGGAAUUAAAAAAUAAGACGAGAAGACCCUAUGGAGCUUUAAUUAACUAAUUUACAAAUAAUAUUACCAAUCUAUCAGAAAUAAAUCAAAGUUGACUAAAUUAGCAAUUUCGGUUGGGGCGACCUCGGAAUAAAAUCUAACUUCCGAGAAAAAUCUUACUAAGGCCUACAAGCCAAAGUAUCCAAUCAUACAUUGAUCCGCUAUAAGCGAUCAACGAAAUAAGUUACCCUAGGGAUAACAGCGCAAUCCUAUUUAAGAGUCCAUAUCGACAAUUAGGGUUUACGACCUCGAUGUUGGAUCAGGACAUUCCAAUGGUGCAGCAGCUAUUAAUGUGUUCGUUUGUUCAACGAUUAAAGUCCUACGUGAUCUGAGU